Molecule: small nuclear RNA, 107 nt
Filed under: Moschus moschiferus (Siberian musk deer)
Lineage: Eukaryota; Metazoa; Chordata; Mammalia; Artiodactyla; Moschidae
Source: RNAcentral
GUGCUCGCUUCGGCAACACAUAUACUAAAAUUGGAACGAUACAGAGAAGAUUAGCAUGGCCCCUGUGCAAGGAUGACACACAAAUUCGUGAAGAGCUCCAUAUUUGG